This 495-nucleotide ribosomal RNA is filed under the name uncultured bacterium. Its description in RNAcentral is "partial 16S ribosomal RNA". It matches the Rfam family "Bacterial small subunit ribosomal RNA", at positions 28 to 507 of the family's 1533-position model. The record is from RNAcentral.
GACGAACGCUGGCGGCGUGCCUAAUACAUGCAAGUAGAACGCUGAAGAGAGGAGCUUGCUCUUCUUGGAUGAGUUGCGAAAGGGUGAGUAACGCGUAGGUAACCUGCCUUGUAGCGGGGGAUAACUAUUGGAAACGAUAGCUAAUACCGCAUAACAAUGGAUGACCCAUGUCAUUUAUUUGAAAGGGGCAAAUGCUCCACUACAAGAUGGACCUGCGUUGUAAUAGCUAGUAGGUGAGGUAACGGCUCACCUAGGCGACGAUACAUAGCCGACCUGAGAGGGUGAUCGGCCACACUGGGACUGACACGGCCCAGACUCCUACGGGAGGCAGCAGUAGGGAAUCUUCGGCAAUGGGGGCAACCCUGACCGAGCAACGCCGCGUGAGUGAAGAAGGUUUUCGGAUCGUAAAGCUCUGUUGUAAGUCAAGAACGAGUGUGAGAGUGGAAAGUUCACACUGUGACGGUAGCUUACCAGAAAGGGACGGCUAACUACGUG